UUUCAAGGUCCAGUCACCCAGCCAAAUGCCAGAGCUCUCCUACCCGGCAGGUAAACCACCUGAAGCUUCGGACCGGCUGGGUCACCUCGGGAAAGUAACUUAACCUCUCUGAACGCCCCCAAGGUCAGAAAGCUUUGCUUUCGGGGGAGAAAGCGGUAUGCAAACAAGACGCAUACGAAACACACACCGCGGGCGCCGGCGCAGUCCUUUCCCGGAGCCUGGGGCUUUCUAACGGGGAACGCGCGCCCCCAGCCCCCGAGACCGGCGAAACCAAGCGCCGAGCCGGCUAGCAGAAGCGAAACCUCAACACUCUUCAGCCUCCCCCGCUCGGUUCCGGGAACCGGCGAGCCAGGCUUCGUGGAAGCGCGCCCGGCAGCCGCGGGCCUCGGGACCGCCCCGACCACAGCCCGCAGUCCCGGGCCGGGAGUCCCUUAGGCGCGGGACGCGUGAGACGGGCGAGGAUGCCGGAGGCGGGAAGCGAGAGCGGGAAUGCCCAGCCCUGGCAAGCUGAGAGGGGCGGAGAGAGGACCAGCAGAGAUUGAGCGCCUACUGUGUGCCUUAGCGCUUGACAACAGGACUUUCGUUAGAUCUUCACUACAGCCCUUGCCAGAGGGAGUUAAUGCCCCAUUUAAGAGGGAUAAACUGAGCCUCUGAGAGGUGAAGUCACUCGCCGAAAACUGCACAGCCAGGCUCAGCGUGACACCCCAAAUCAGGGCUCAGUUACGCCAAGAAGAGCACGAUGAGCUUGAACCACUGGUUUGCCGAGUCCUGUUCUUGCUCUUUUUGUGUAGACAGACACAUAGUAGGUGCUCAGGAAGAUACUGGAAGAUGGAAAAUGAGCUUGACAGCUCAGCCCCGGAGUACGCGCCGCG
This 872-nucleotide long non-coding RNA is filed under the name Equus asinus (donkey). RNAcentral describes it as "lncRNA (ENSEASG00005036851.1)". The record is from RNAcentral. Lineage: Eukaryota; Metazoa; Chordata; Mammalia; Perissodactyla; Equidae.